ACACCAAAAAGUAAUAUACCUCUCCUUUUCACGACGAGUGUAAUCAAAAAUACUUUUUGACACAUCAGGUCCAUUAGUGAUCUCAAGAACAUGGGAUAGAUAAUUGAUUCAUUAAUUGGAGAUGCGAGUGUUACUAUGACGGACAUCUUGGGUUUGUUCUUGGAGUCAAGUGGACACCCCGGGGUGGCGACCAACAAUGGAGGAUGAUGCAUGAUGGUGUUUUUUUUCUAGUGGUAUUAGAGCAUGGUGUUUGGAAUAUGAAGGUGCGACAACUAUAAUUAAAUGCAACAAAUGGAGGUUCACACAUAUUUGAAUCCUAAGGAGUGUGGUUACAAAGUGUAUAGUUGUAAUGUUGACUUGGUUGAAGUGUGUAAUAAAAUGGAUUUUUUUUUUCAACAAUCCUACCAAUAUGUAGAUUUUUAUUGUUUAAUUUGUUUUACUUUUGUUUUAUAUGAAUUACGAUGUAUUUUGGUUCAUUUGUACAGUUUGGAAUUUAAGUAAGAUGUAAAUUGUGGUAGUAAACUAUAAUAAAUAAUGAGGAUUAAGUGUAACUGAGUGAUGAAUAACCCAAACCUAUACCCAACAGGGAUCGGAUAUCCCCGUUACGCCGCUUUCCACAUGAAUUUGAAUUGUAUUUUAGUAUUUUUUUAUUAAAAAAAAAGUUAAAUGUGCAAAAUUAUGUUUUCACAACAAUAUUUUUUUAAAUAAAGAAAAGAAUUGAGAUAAUGGUUUGUUUAAUACUCAAAUUAAAAAUAAAAAAAUAAGUGGAGCGGGUUCAGGGUGGGUAUCAAUGUACUCAUUACCCGCCCUAACCCCAUCUUUUGAAAUAGGAGAAAAUCCGAACCCGAACCCAAAUCCUGUCAACUCGGGUUUUCCCCUUCAAAGCGGGUAGGGUUUGGGCGGAUACCCACGGGUAUGAGUUUUAUGGUCAUACCUACUCUUGAAAUGAAAAAUAUUAUGCAAAAGAGAACUCUCUUUUUUCCCAAUUUUUUUAUUUACAUACUCGCUUUCUACGUUGCAAGGGGGUAAAAUUGAAACGUCAAUGGGCGUACAUGAGACUUGGGUGGACGCAGAAUCAAUGUAUGGAUUAAAUAACAUAGCCCAUUAUACAGUAAAAUGGACCUUCAACAAAAUUAUUAGGCCCAUGUACGUACCAAGUGGCAUUAUUGUCAUUUCAUAAACUUAAAAAACAUUUUCAAUUCUCCUCUUUGGUUAUCCACUUCUUCCCCACUCCUCAAAAAUGGCAGCAAUAUCAAACAACAACCUAUUCUCCACUUUCACUCGCAAUCAACUCAUCAACAACUACCAAAAUCAAUUCACGUUCUAGAGGAACACAAAUUAUGUAAAAGUAUAAUAUUGUGACAGAUAAAGGUAUAAUUAAAAGACCUCUAAAGAAACACAAAUUAUUUAAAGGACUAAUAUGAAAUCAACCGUCUUUUUAGGGACAAAAGAGUAAUUUAUACAACAUUUUUUAAUCAAAUGAAGAGUAAUUUAGCCUUCUUGAUAUAUCAAAUAUUGAUAUGUUAAAUAUUUAAUAAAAAAACAAACAUAUAUUAACAAAUUUAUAUAUUUUGUUGACUACAUUUAUAUAUUAAUUUAGUUAAUUAGUAAAUUCAAUAAAUUAGUAUAUACAGUAACAUUUUUAUAUAUUUUGUUGCUACAUUUGUAUAUUAAUUUAGUAAAUUAGUAAAUUCAAUUAAUUAAUAUAUAUGCAAUAAAUGGAUGCAAUGAAUUAGUUAUUUUGAUGCAAUGAUUAGUUAUUUUGUUUAGGGGGAAUGAAUCUGAAAAUUAGAAAUGUGUAAGUAAAUAUAAAAAUGCAAUAAAAUAAUAAUUUCUAGAUCUUUCACCAUUAGUAUUAAUAUGUGUUAAACCAACACAAGAUAUCAGGAGUGAAAACGAGUGUGAAAGACGAUGACUACUGAGAGAACCAAAGAGUUUAACCUAUUCACAACAUCACAAGUGCAUAUCCAAACACCAUACACUAAUAUCACCAGAGAUAAAAAUCCUCAAGCAUCGUCCUCCAUUAAUGGUCGUUGUCCGGCUUCCACUUGGCUCUAAGAAUAAGGCCAAGAUGCUUGUCAUAGUAACACAUGACAUCCCCAAUGCCCUCUAUCUUCAUAUUCUUUAGAUCAUUGAUGGAGCUGACAUGCCAAAGAGUAUUUUUUAUUACGUUCGUCGUAAAGGAAGGGGAAUAUUCAUUUUCAGUGCAAACGGAGUGAAAAUUUCCCAUGGCUUGAUGUAGACUGACUUGCUCCACCACUUCUGCUGCUCACCGAAAAGUAAUAUACUUCUCCUUUUCACGACGAGUGUAAUCAAAAAUACUUUUUGACACAUCAGGUCCAUUAGUGAUCUCAAGAACAUGGGGUAGAUAAUAGAUUCAUUAAUUGGGGAUGGGUGUGUUACUAUGACAGACAACUUGGGUUUGUUCUCGGAGUCAAGUGGACACCCAGGGUGGCAACCGACAGUGGAGGAUGAUGCAUGAUGGUGUUUUUUUUUCUUCUGGUGGUAUUAGAGCAUGGUGUUUGGAAUAUGAAGGUGCGGCAACUAUAAUUAAAUGCAACAAAUGGAGGUUCACACAUAUUUGAAUCCUAAGGAGUGUGGUUACAAAGUGUGUAGUGGUA
RNAcentral lists this long non-coding RNA (2621 nucleotides) under Trifolium pratense (red clover). Its description in RNAcentral is "long non-coding RNA (TPRA_LNC003848)". The record is from RNAcentral. Lineage: Eukaryota; Viridiplantae; Streptophyta; Magnoliopsida; Fabales; Fabaceae.